Molecule: small nuclear RNA, 198 nt
Organism: Centropristis striata (black sea bass)
Lineage: Eukaryota; Metazoa; Chordata; Actinopteri; Perciformes; Serranidae
Product: U2 spliceosomal RNA
Exons: 1
Source: RefSeq, a predicted model, not a curated record
UUUGCUUCUUGGCCUUUUGGCUAAGAUCAAGUGCAGAAUCUGUUCUUAUCAGUUUAAUAUCUGAUACGUCCCCUUCCUAGGGAGUCGGGACUAUAUAUAAAAUUGAUUUUUGGAUCAGGGAGAUGGAAUAGGGGCUUGUUCUGCCCACUCCACGCAUCGACCUGGUAUUGCAGUACUUCUGGGAACGGUGCACCCCUC